UGGGGAAUUUUGGACAAUGGGCGAAAGCCUGAUCCAGCCAUGCCGCGUGAGUGAAGAAGGCCUUCGGGUUGUAAAGCUCUUUUAGUCGGAAAGAAAGAGUCGCAAUGAAUAAUUGUGAUUUAUGACGGUACCGACAGAAAAAGCACCGGCUAACUACGUGCCAGCAGCCGCGGUAAUACGUAGGGUGCGAGCGUUAAUCGGAAUUACUGGGCGUAAAGGGUGCGCAGGCGGUUUUGCAAGUCAGAUGUGAAAGCCCCGGGCUUAACCUGGGAAUUGCGUUUGAAACUACAAGGCUAGAGUGCAGCAGAGGGGAGUGGAAUUCCAUGUGUAGCAGUGAAAUGCGUAGAGAUGUGGAAGAACACCGAUGGCGAAGGCAGCUCCCUGGGUUGACACUUAGCGUCA
RNAcentral lists this ribosomal RNA (402 nucleotides) under uncultured bacterium. Its description in RNAcentral is "bacterial SSU rRNA". It matches the Rfam family "Bacterial small subunit ribosomal RNA", at positions 355 to 748 of the family's 1533-position model. The record is from RNAcentral.